RNAcentral lists this ribosomal RNA (398 nucleotides) under uncultured bacterium. Its description in RNAcentral is "bacterial SSU rRNA". It matches the Rfam family "Bacterial small subunit ribosomal RNA", at positions 359 to 776 of the family's 1533-position model. The record is from RNAcentral.
GUAUUGGACAAUGGGGGAAACCCUGAUCCAGCCAUGCCGCGUGAGUGAUGAAGGCCUUCGGGUUGUAAAGCUCUUUUAGCGGGGAAGAUAAUGACGGUACCCGCAGAAUAAGCCCCGGCUAACUUCGUGCCAGCAGCCGCGGUAAGACGAAGGGGGCUAGCGUUGUUCGGAAUUACUGGGCGUAAAGGGCGCGCAGGCGGCUCUACAAGUCAGGCGUUAAAGACCCAGGCUCAACCUGGGGAAUGCGCUGGAUACUGUAGGGCUUGAGAUCGGAAGAGGAGAGUGGAAUUCCCAGUGUAGAGGUGAAAUUCGUAGAUAUUGGGAAGAACACCAGUGGCGAAGGCGGCUCUCUGGUCCGAUUCUGACGCUGAGGCGCGAAAGCGUGGGGAGCAAACAGG